Molecule: long non-coding RNA, 722 nt
Organism: Chiroxiphia lanceolata (lance-tailed manakin)
Lineage: Eukaryota; Metazoa; Chordata; Aves; Passeriformes; Pipridae
Exons: 2
Source: RefSeq, a predicted model, not a curated record
AACAACUUUUGACGGGAAAAACGUGAGGGCAAGUCCAGACAAGCCCUGAACAAUACAAACCAAGGGGAUUAACAUAGAAGUAUAUAUGGGGGUACAUUAAACAUGGUAUGAAACUGGGGAAUAACAUGAAAGCCUGUGAAUUAUUAGCUCCUUCAGGCUCCAUAUAAGUCCCUCCAGGCUUUGAAUCUCUUCCAAUCACUUUGAUGUUCCUCCUCAAUAAACUGUGCAGGGUGUCCUGACUGCACAACACAGACCCACCUUUGGGCCUGCCCAGCAACAAGGAAACCUACCAAAACCAUUGCAACAGUCUGCCUGUGGAAAACAGCCUGGUGCUUUGCAUGACAGCCUGAAGGGCAAGACCCCACUACCCCAGACCGAGAGGCACUCCAGACACUGUCAGGGUUAUUCCAGCUAUAGUCCUGGUCUGAAGAAGACCAAGGACUCACCAGCUCACCACAGGCAGUUGCCAACAGCUGAAGAUCAGCUGGAUCAGGCAAAACACGAGCAAAUGUCCAUGAAAUAUGAGAGUUAAAAAGUCAGGGGAGGGGGUUGCCUUCUUUCUUUCCUUCCUUCCUCCUUUCUUUUAUCUCCACUUAACUAGUUAAAUCAAUUGUAGUAAGAAGACAUCUUCCAGCCCCCAAAACAUUAUCUUUAUUGAGGGAUUUUGUUUCAUUCACUCUGUAAAACUACUUCAGGAUUUUAAAUUAAAUGUGAAAUCCAGU